Long non-coding RNA from Silurus meridionalis, 238 nucleotides. RefSeq lists it as uncharacterized. NCBI's taxonomy places the organism in Eukaryota, Metazoa, Chordata, Actinopteri, Siluriformes, Siluridae. The transcript is spliced from 3 exons. The record is from RefSeq and is a predicted model, not a curated record.
AGGAUGGACAUUCCAGCUGCGUUUUUAUUGCUAGCAGUCCUGACUUGUCUCGCCAGUGGACAGGGGGAUAACGAGAUCCUUGAGCCGACAGAUACGCAGGCCAGGAAUCUGGUGAUGUCUUUAUUCAUGAACAGAAUCAGAUCGAGAACGCUAGGCUUCAGGAUAAUGGCGUCAAACAGAACAUUUCUGGAGACCUGACCUCCAGCCUAACCUCCAGCCUUGAUAAAGAUAUAGUGCC